UCGAACGCGAAAGGGGCUUCGGCCCUGAGUAGAGUGGCGAACGGGUAAGUAACACGUGGGUGACCUACCUUCGAGUGGGGGAUAACGUCCCGAAAGGGACGCUAAUACCGCAUGACAUCCUGCCUUUGAAGAGGCGGAGAUCAAAGCUGGGGAUCGCAAGACCUGGCGCUGGAAGAGGGGCUCGCGUCCGAUUAGCUAGUUGGUGAGGUAAUGGCUCACCAAGGCGACGAUCGGUAGCCGGCCUGAGAGGGCGGACGGCCACACUGGGACUGAGACACAGCCCAGACUCCUACGGGAGGCAGCAGUGGGGAAUUGUUCGCAAUGGGCGCAAGCCUGACGACGCAACGCCGCGUGGAGGAUGAAGGUCUUCGGAUUGUAAACUCCUGUUGCCCGGGACGAAUGGCCACGACCUAACACGUCGUGGUGUGACGGUACCGGGUGAGGAAGCCCCGGCUAACUCUGUGCCAGCAGCCGCGGUAAUACAGAGGGGGCAAGCGUUGUUCGGAAUUACUGGGCGUAAAGGGCGCGUAGGUGGCCUGCUAAGUCGAACGUGAAAUCCCCGGGCUCAACCCGGGAACUGCGUCCGAUACUGGCAGGCUUGAAUCCGGGAGAGGGAUGUGGAAUUCCAGGUGUAGCGGUGAAAUGCGUAGAUAUCUGGAGGAACACCGGUGGCGAAGGCGGCAUCCUGGACCGGUAUUGACGCUGAUGCGCGAAAGCCAGGGGAGCAAACGGGAUUAGAUACCCCGGGUAGUCCUGGCCCUAAACGAUGAAUGCUUGGUGUGGCGGGUAUCGAUCCCUGCCGUGCCGAAGCUAACGCAUUAAGCAUUCCGCCUGGGGAGUACGGUCGCAAGGCUGAAACUCAAGGAAUUGACGGGGGCCCGCACAACGGUGGAACAUGUGGU
RNAcentral lists this ribosomal RNA (902 nucleotides) under uncultured Bacillota bacterium. Its description in RNAcentral is "bacterial SSU rRNA". It matches the Rfam family "Bacterial small subunit ribosomal RNA", at positions 62 to 945 of the family's 1533-position model. Lineage: Bacteria; Bacillati; Bacillota. The record is from RNAcentral.